AGUAGACUUAUUUCGUUUUUUAACUGAAAUAAAAAAAACAUUUAUCAACAUAUUAUGUUGAUUCAAGUAGUGGUGUUAUCGUUAACGUGAUUUACACAGUGUAACCAUGAGUCUAACAAUUUGGGAACAAUAAUAUAUUUUAAAAAGGCUUGUUUUAUUAAUAAUGCUCGUAUAUCGAUAACGAUCUUAUUUUAUCACGUUCUGUUAUUGUAUAGGUGACGAUAUUUUAUGCAAAAAAAAAAAAAAAUAAUAGGUUAGAUAUUCCGACGGGCCUGGAGAAUUACAAAAAGGUUGAAUUCUCGUAGAGAUCCCGUUAAGGCCGAAAAAAUAAAACUCAUUCACAUAAAAUUCCUUAGACCCGUUUCGAUCGUAUUUUAUUACCUGUGCGAAUCCGUUUUGAUCAAAUCUUUUAAAACAUGACCUAUAAGUUAUAAAAACUAUAUAGAUAGUUCAGUUAGGGGUAACUAUUCUAAAUCAAUAAUAAAAUCCGUUUGAAAAAUAUCGCAUAAAAAGCAUCCCGCGUAGUAAAAAAAUCAAAAUAUUUAAAAACUCAUUAAACGUCUUGAUCGAAUUUUUCAAAAGAAAACCAGAUAGGUUUUUAUAUUUGCUCGUCAAAUAUUUUCAACUAAAUCUUUCGACUCGGUUCAUAACUCAAUAUUCACGUGCAUGUCCUAUAGCAUAUAUUAUUAUAUUGUUCGUUUACUUUUUCGGGUUGACAUAAACUCUUACACUCUGGCACUCUGGAAAUGUAUGCCACGCACUAUGAUUGCAAAUGUAUAGAAU
This is a non-coding RNA of Cinara cedri, 783 nucleotides long. Lineage: Eukaryota; Metazoa; Arthropoda; Insecta; Hemiptera; Aphididae. The record is from the annotation of a GenBank genome assembly.